AGCGAACGUUAGCGGCGGGCUUAACACAUGCAAGUCGAACGAGAAUGAGGGGGCAACCCCUCUAGUAAAGUGGCGGACGGGUGCGUAACACGUGGACAAUCUACCUUCCGGCGGGGGACAACAGUUCGAAAGGACUGCUAAUACCGCGUACGUCGGCGAGGGCUCCGGCUCUCGUCGAGAAAGAUGGCCAAUCCUUGGAAGCUGUCACCGGAAGAUGAAUCCGCGGCCCAUCAGGUAGUUGGUGAGGUAAUGGCUCACCAAGCCUAAGACGGGUAGCUGGUCUGAGAGGAUGAUCAGCCACACUGGGACUGCGACACGGCCCAGACUCCUACGGGUGGCUG
This 341-nucleotide ribosomal RNA is filed under the name uncultured Pseudomonadota bacterium. RNAcentral describes it as "bacterial SSU rRNA". It matches the Rfam family "Bacterial small subunit ribosomal RNA", at positions 29 to 351 of the family's 1533-position model. The record is from RNAcentral. Lineage: Bacteria; Pseudomonadati; Pseudomonadota.